AUUAUGUAAAUUUUCUCGAUCCUAAAUUCAUUACAAUAUUCAAUUUCAGGAAAUGCUCUUGACCAUCUGCUGCUGCUCCAAGAAAUGAGUCUUGGAGAUUGUUUACUACCAGAGAUGAUGGAGGGAAAUUUGAACUCUUGUCUUCUGCUGCUGAGUAGAUCCUUAAGACGGUACAACGUGAGACAGAGGGAAAUGAACAGCCCUGUCCUGCCCCUUCCCCAGCUGAAAACCACUGGAGAAUUCCAGGGAAGCAUGAAAAAGGGAGUGCUGCAUUCCCUGUGCUGGACAUGCUGCAGCAGGGAGGAGAGCAGAGAGCACAGGGGCUUUUUUGGCUCUCAUUUGGUGCUGGGGAUGAUCCAUAGGGACAGGUAGGACCCUGCAGCUUCUUCAUUGCUUUUCCCUUUCCCUCCCCUGGCUGUUCCCAGUGCCAGCACUGCUGUGGGCAGAGCUGCUGCUCACAUCAGCUCCCAGCAGGUGGG
RNAcentral lists this long non-coding RNA (479 nucleotides) under Parus major (Great Tit). RNAcentral's name for it is "lncRNA (ENSPMJG00000019846.1)". Lineage: Eukaryota; Metazoa; Chordata; Aves; Passeriformes; Paridae. The record is from RNAcentral.